Molecule: long non-coding RNA, 378 nt
Filed under: Panax ginseng (ginseng)
Lineage: Eukaryota; Viridiplantae; Streptophyta; Magnoliopsida; Apiales; Araliaceae
Description: long non-coding RNA (PGIN_LNC016900)
Source: RNAcentral
UAAGAAGUAAGGCCUGUGUCUAUGUCUAUCCAUCUUAUAAUCCGAAUCCAAGCUAUACCUCCUAGCCCGGUGAAAAGUGCUAAAUCCGUGUAAUGAGAGAAGGUUCUUUCUUUUCUACUGGUUGUAGAGUAUGUCAUUACUGGUCUUUCUUUUGCUUUAGCUAUUCAGGAAGAUUUCCCCCAAGUUUAUAAUUUGCUAUUUUACUAGAUCGAGAUGCUUAGUAACUCGAAAGAUAGGACUUUAUCUCUUCUACUUCGUCUAAAGCCUGUGCUGACUGUGUCGCUACUGCAAGGGAGAAAUGCUCAGAAUCUAGUGACAAUAUGGGAGUUGUUCCUUUUGUAUACCUUCGGGUAUAAAGGUAAGAUCUCUCACGUGUCA